AACGAACGCUGGCGGCAGGCUUAACACAUGCAAGUCGAGCGCCCCGCAAGGGGAGCGGCAGACGGGCGAGUAACGCGUGGGAACGUACCUUUUGGUUCGGAACAACUCCGGGAAACUGGAGCUAAUACCGGAUAAGCCCUAACGGGGCAAGAUUUAUCGCCGAAAGAUCGGCCCGCGUCUGAUUAGCUAGUUUGUGAGGUAACGGCUCACCAAGGCGACGAUCAGUAGCUGGUCUGAGAGGAUGAUCAGCCACACUGGGACUGAGACACGGCCCAGACUCCUACGGGAGGCAGCAGUGGGGAAUAUUGGACAAUGGGCGCAAGCCUGAUCCAGCCAUGCCGCGUGAGUGAUGAAGGCCUUAGGGUUGUAAAGCUCUUUUGUCCGGGAAGAUAAUGACUGUACCGGAAGAAUAAGCCCCGGCUAACUUCGUG
RNAcentral lists this ribosomal RNA (431 nucleotides) under uncultured bacterium. RNAcentral describes it as "partial 16S ribosomal RNA". It matches the Rfam family "Bacterial small subunit ribosomal RNA", at positions 29 to 507 of the family's 1533-position model. The record is from RNAcentral.